Dromaius novaehollandiae (emu) is the source of this 3610-nucleotide long non-coding RNA. RefSeq lists it as uncharacterized. Lineage: Eukaryota; Metazoa; Chordata; Aves; Casuariiformes; Dromaiidae. The transcript has 2 exons. The record is from RefSeq and is a predicted model, not a curated record.
GAGACACACGAAGGAGCAAAUACGGUAGGGAGCAGGAUUGCUCAGUCCUGGCCGGGAGCCGGAGUUUUGCCAACCGAGUCACCCGCAGCCCAGCACUGAAGCCAUCCGGGUGCCGUGGGCCGGGAUCGUACCGCGUAAGUCACCCGCGAAGCCGCUCGCUUGUGCGUGGAGCCUGCUAAGCGCCGGAUGCCUCUGGUUGCGCCCCAGGGAGCAACUGGUUAAUGACGGCGCUGUCGUUACCGCGCUGCUACAAGAGCUGUAAUACAACAGGAGAGAUGAGAGCAGCGAGUGUGAAAGGCCCGGGGAAACUCAGCAGAGCAGAAAGCUGAUACGUAUGUAUUAGCCAAUCUUUAUCGCACCUUCCUCCAGCGGUACCUGGUGCAAAUACAGCACCAAAGCGGAGCAGAACCGCCGCUCGCAGCCGCCGGUGCGGGGCCGGGCUGCUCGCUGGGACGGAGCUGCGUGCACGGCGCUGGGACCGGCGCGGGAGAGGGGACAGCAGCGGCGAGCGAGCGGGGCCACCGCCAGGGAAGUGCAACGUGCCGUGACCUCCCUCUAAUUCCGACCAACUGCUGCCAUCAGCGAGCAAAUGGCCGGUGUAACGGCAGGGGCGAGUUUGGGGGAGGGACUCGCGCUCCCCCAGGAAACCGGCUGAACCAGCUCCAGAGGCCCCGGGUACAAACCGCAUUCGUCACUGCUUAAAGGCCGCCUCGGGAAACCGAGUUCGGUGGGUGCCUCGUGCCGUUGGCAGAGUCCUCGUUCUUGGAGCUUUGCCUUUCUCCAGGGGGACAGUGACGGAGCCACGCCGUCUUCCCGAUUUCUCUCGGGCUGUUUCUGCAAUCCCUGCCGCCUGCACGACCCCGGAGCAGCGGGGACCCCCGGGCUCUGCUAACUCCAGUCUCAAGCUGCUCGGAAAAGGGAAAGCGGGGGCCUUUCCCAUGCUCACUGGACCCUGCAGCACGCCACGUGCUGCCAACCCAGCCCUGCCUUGGGCUAACGCCCGUGCUGUCCCGCGGCAACCGCCGCUGCCGGCCAUCCCGCUCGCCCAGCGCUUCUCAAAAAGGGUCUGAAGCACCUUUAGCCCUCCGCGUUUUAAGGGGAAACAAAUCAGGGGGAUAAUUGCUUAAAUUAAAGCGAUUUAUGCCAUUAAGUGACUCUUACCAUAGGCCUUCCUCAGGCAUUCGAGUGUAUUUUUCGUUAGCGCUGCAUAAUACAGUAAUUGCAGGGAUAGGAAGGAAGUUGUCCUUCCCUUGCAAAGUAGCGCAAACAUCGACUGCCCCCUUCGCCUUGCCCCGCUCCCGACGCCCCGGAGCCUCCCGCUCCCGAAACCCCUGGAAUUCAGGCGCCGAGACCCGAUGCUCACGCAGGGGCUGCCGGCGGCGUCGGGGACGGACGCAGCGCUGCUGCCGCGGGAGCGCAGCACGUCCCGGCUUGGAAAGCCGAGUGCCCCGGCAGCGGAGCAAGCGGGGCGCAGCGGGGACGGCCACGGCAGCGGCAUGCGGCUCUGCAUCCGAGCUCCCCCUCAUGGCUCCGGCGCAGCAGUGCCGACCCCGCGGCGCCAUCCCGCCCGCCGGCACGCUCCCGCGCGGCCUCCCGUCAGCCAGGAGCCGGGACAAACUCCGGCCUGGGAAAUCGCCCUGUGCCGAGUGGAAAAAGGCCUAAAGCAGCGGAGAGAGAAAAUCGAUAUUCUGCAGGUUCUGCCAGCAAUUUGCACACAAUGGGAAGCAAGCGGCGAAUAAGGAACUGCAAACAAAAGCGACUUUUCUGGGUGCUUUUAAGGACGCAGCCUGUUUCUGAACGAUAAGCGGGGAGCCGGAGCCGGCAGGUCCUGCCUGGAGGAGCCCGCGAGCUGCCCGGGCGGUUGCUCGCUCCCAUACCGGAUCCAGUCCCCUAGCUCGGGCUUCUCCAUCCUCCAGAGCCUUUCUCCCCAAACGCUCUGCCCCUUGGGACUGCUCGGCAAUCCCAGAGCAUCCCACCCCGGGAGCAUCCCCCGGCUCCCUCCUGCUCCCAGUGGCGCUUGGACCGCGGCAUCCCUCGGGGGCAGUUUUGCAACCAAAAGCUGGUCAGACUUAUUCUGAAAGCAUUGAAACGUGAGAUGCUUUUAUAACUCUUUGUCAUCUCUCUCCUUGGCCAAAGCUAUUUGCCAAAGCCAGCUUUGGCUGCUCAGUAGUGCUGGCCCUCCCAAACGCCGCCGGAGAGCUGACCACCCUGCGCGGUGGAAGGCCCCCUUGCCCGGCCUCGGUCGCUGGCUGCUUGCAGCAAUACACCUCAUAUCUCUGCGGCUGCUUUCCUCCUAACUUUUGCUGGGGCAAAGCCGCAUCUCCAUGUGACUUUUGCAGAAGGAUAGCAAGCUGGAGCUGGGUAUCCCGCAGAAGAACGCACGCCUCCCGUUUCUGCGGCAAAGUCAAGGCGAGGAGCAGCUAGGUGCUCCACGGAGACAGCCUCUGCAGAGCAGCUCGCGUACGCGCUGCAUUUAAUAGAGCUGUUUGUUUUCAAAUACAGCCUAUGCCAGUGUCAGAUGGCAUUUGAGGGACUGGUAUUGAGCCAGACCCAACAAAUCUAUUCUUUAUUGUCAGCCCAGUGUUUGCUUCCAUGAACUAAUUAGGGGAGACGAGACAGCGCGUCGGGGAGGGAGGAGGGAGCGGGGAAGCGCGUGACGUCCCCGCGGGGCUCGGCCACCGGCAGCCCGAGCUGACCCCGCUCCGCGUCGGAUGGGGCCUCCCCUGGCCCGACACCACGGACAACGGUCGAGCAAGUCCUCUGCAACGGCCCGGCCUUUCCCAGCACCUCGGUGCACAUGCAGAGAUGUUUCCCUGGCCCCAGGACACGUCCCACGCACCCACCGGCCCCGACGCGCUCCUUCCCCGGCCGCCGCUGCCUCCUCUUCCUCGCCAAGCAGGGCGCACCGAGGCUCCCGCGGCGCCAUCAAGAGCAAAGCCAAGACUUUUGUUGGCGUCUCAAGAAAGGCGCAACCUCUCUGCAUCCCCUUCACCUCCCUCAUUCAUCACUGUCACAUCUGUAGAGGUUUUUUAUUUAACAACCAAUUUAUUUCCAAUUUGACUAAUCUCGGUGUGGAGCAUCUCGCGCAGGCUCACCAAAGGCGCCGGAGCUGUAAAUAGACUCGCCAGCCACGCCGGUUAAUACAAACUCCCAUCAAAGCACGUCAGGCAGAGGAGAUGCUGCAGGGAGAUUGCAGGCCGCUCGCAUAGGCAAGCGGCCGCGGCAAGCAGCCCCUCCGCCGCCGCCUUUACGCCAUCCAGAUUUAUAUAUUUGCCUUCUGGAUCGCCCCGGCUCACCUUGAGCAGGCCACAAGCGCUUUUGCAAGCAAUUUAUAGGGCGAUAACGCGGAGGGACGGGGGGAGCCAGGCUGGGGGGCAUCGGAGCAGGGAGCCGUAUUUCUCGGGACCCGCUGCACCGCCCGGCUCGGCACCGCGCUGUUGGGCCCUUGCCGGCACGGGCAUGCCGCGGCCCUCGGUUGCUCCAGAUAAGGGAAAUCUAACCAGAUAAAGGUGCAGCUAAUCAGAUGGCUACAAGCUCCCGGACCGCUCGAGGAAUCCAUAUCGAUCCGGGCAAGAUAUCAAAUGUAAAAUAAAGGAUUUUGCUAACUGCG